This 274-nucleotide ribosomal RNA is filed under the name uncultured bacterium. RNAcentral's name for it is "partial 16S ribosomal RNA". It matches the Rfam family "Bacterial small subunit ribosomal RNA", at positions 523 to 796 of the family's 1533-position model. The record is from RNAcentral.
AUACGAAGGUGGCGAGCGUUGUUCGGAAUCACUGGGCGUAAAGCGCGCGUAGGCGGCCGGGUAAGUCAGGUGUGAAAGCCCUCGGCUCAACCGAGGAACGACAUCUGAUACUGCUUGGCUUGAGGCCCGGAGGGGAGAACGGAAUUCCUGGUGGAGCGGUGAAAUGCGUAGAGAUCAGGAGGAACUCCGGUGGCGAAGGCGGUUCUCUGGACGGGUUCUGACGCUGAGGCGCGAAAGCUAGGGGAGCGAACGGGAUUAGAAACCCUAGUAGUCC